CCCUUAGAUGUUCUGGGCCGCACGCGCGCUACACUGAUGCAUUCAACGAGUCUAAAACCUGCUCUGAUAGGGGUGGGUAAUCUUUUGAAUGUGCAUCGUGAUUGGGAUAGAUGAUUGCAAUUUUUCAUCUUCAACGAGGAAUGCCUAGUAAACGCAAGUCAUCAGCUUGCAUUGAUUACGUCCCUGCCCUUUGUACACGCCGCCCGUCGCUCCUACCGAUUGAAUGAUCCGAUGAAUAUCAUGGAUUGAGGAUGCAAGUAGGUUCGCCUAUCUUCAUCUUCGAGAAGUGAAGUAAAUCUUAUCAUUUAGAGGAAGGAGAAGUCGUAACA
Molecule: ribosomal RNA, 329 nt
Filed under: uncultured eukaryote
Lineage: Eukaryota
Description: partial 18S ribosomal RNA
Rfam family: Eukaryotic small subunit ribosomal RNA
Source: RNAcentral